UUUCACUCUCUUUUACACAAAGACACACACUCUAAUACGCAAGGAGAGAACUCUCCCUUCGGACGAUUCGCUGCUCCUCCGGCGACAGCGAGGAAGCUCCCGUCAUCUCAUCCCUGUCUGGAUACCUCUCUACUCACCUACACACAACACCAUCUCUCUCCGCUGAAUUGUCGUCGUUGUCGACUGCUCGGCAGUUUCCGUCGCCGGUUUCCGACAAUAUUAGAGUAGACUUGUCUUCCCUUUGAGUAAUCCUGGCCUGAGGGAUAGCACGGGCAAGGAGAAGGCGAAUGAGUAAAGUGAUCUAGUACGGCAUUUUGGAUUUUAAGAUUAGGUGAUCAGACUAGCUCUUUUGCUGUACAGCUGCUCAAGUCGGGUCACUAGCCAAGCUUUUGCGUUGGGUAAAUCUUUUGGAUUUGAUAAAUGUGGCAUGUAGUAGGAGUGUAAUGUACCUUGGACGUUAUAUUACUUCGUAAACUUUUGCUAAGCAUGUAUA
Salvia splendens (bonfire salvia) is the source of this 493-nucleotide long non-coding RNA. RefSeq lists it as uncharacterized. The record is from RefSeq and is a predicted model, not a curated record. Lineage: Eukaryota; Viridiplantae; Streptophyta; Magnoliopsida; Lamiales; Lamiaceae. The transcript has 3 exons.